GGUAGACAGGAAGAAGCUUGCUUGCUUUGCUGACGAGUGGCGGACGGGUGAGUAAUGUCUGGGAAACUGCCUGAUGGAGGGGGAUAACUACUGGAAACGGUAGCUAAUACCGCAUAACGUCGCAAGACCAAAGAGGGGGACCUUCGGGCCUCUUGCCAUCGGAUGUGCCCAGAUGGGAUUAGCUAGUAGGUGGGGUAACGGCUCACCUAGGCGACGAUCCCUAGCUGGUCUGAGAGGAUGACCAGCCACACUGGAACUGAGACACGGUCCAGACUCCUACGGGAGGCAGCAGUGGGGAAUAUUGCACAAUGGGCGCAAGCCUGAUGCAGCCAUGCCGCGUGUAUGAAGAAGGCCUUCGGGUUGUAAAGUACUUUCAGCGGGGAGGAAGGGAGUAAAGUUAAUACCUUUGCUCAUUGACGUUACCCGCAGAAGAAGCACCGGCUAACUCCGUGCCAGCAGCCGCGGUAAUACGGAGGGUGCAAGCGUUAAUCGGAAUUACUGGGCGUAAAGCGCACGCAGGCGGUUUGUUAAGUCAGAUGUGAAAUCCCCGGGCUCAACCUGGGAACUGCAUCUGAUACUGGCAAGCUUGAGUCUCGUA
RNAcentral lists this ribosomal RNA (598 nucleotides) under bacterium EI25. Its description in RNAcentral is "bacterial SSU rRNA". It matches the Rfam family "Bacterial small subunit ribosomal RNA", at positions 68 to 653 of the family's 1533-position model. The record is from RNAcentral.